GGGGCAUUAGCGCAGUUGGUAGCGCGUCUCGGUCGCAUCGAGAAGGUCACGGGUUCGACUCCCGUAUGCUCCACAA
This 76-nucleotide transfer RNA is filed under the name Cutibacterium granulosum DSM 20700. RNAcentral describes it as "tRNA-Ala". It matches the Rfam family "tRNA". From Rfam's summary of the family: Transfer RNA (tRNA) molecules are approximately 80 nucleotides in length. Their secondary structure includes four short double-helical elements and three loops (D, anti-codon, and T loops). Further hydrogen bonds mediate the characteristic L-shaped molecular structure. tRNAs have two regions of fundamental functional importance: the anti-codon, which is responsible for specific mRNA codon recognition, and the 3' end, to which the tRNAs corresponding amino acid is attached (by aminoacyl-tRNA synthetases). tRNAs cope with the degeneracy of the genetic code in two manners: having more than one tRNA (with a specific anti-codon) for a particular amino acid; and 'wobble' base-pairing, i.e. permitting non-standard base-pairing at the 3rd anti-codon position. Lineage: Bacteria; Bacillati; Actinomycetota; Actinomycetes; Propionibacteriales; Propionibacteriaceae. RNAcentral also lists the same sequence under 1 other name. The record is from RNAcentral.